Syngnathus typhle (broad-nosed pipefish) is the source of this 113-nucleotide small nuclear RNA. RefSeq annotates it as U5 spliceosomal RNA. The transcript has a single exon. Lineage: Eukaryota; Metazoa; Chordata; Actinopteri; Syngnathiformes; Syngnathidae. The record is from RefSeq and is a predicted model, not a curated record.
GUACAAGGUUUUCUUCAGAUCACACAAAUCUUUUGCCCUUUACUAAAGAUUUCCGUGGAGAGGAAUACAUUGAGAUAAUUCCGAAUUUUUUGCUGCUUUGAUCCAUCAGAGCA